Molecule: ribosomal RNA, 301 nt
Filed under: uncultured bacterium
Lineage: Bacteria
Description: partial 16S ribosomal RNA
Rfam family: Bacterial small subunit ribosomal RNA
Source: RNAcentral
CAGCAGCCACGGUAAUACGGAGGGUGCAAGCGUUAAUCGGAAUUACUGGGCGUAAAGCGUGCGUAGGCGGUUCGUUAAGUCUGUUGUGAAAGCCCCGGGCUCAACCUGGGAAUGGCAAUGGAUACUGGCGAGCUAGAGUGUGUCAGAGGAUGGUGGAAUUCCCGGUGUAGCGGUGAAAUGCGUAGAGAUCGGGAGGAACAUCAGUGGCGAAGGCGGCCAUCUGGGACAACACUGACGCUGAGGCACGAAAGCGUGGGGAGCAAACAGGAUUAGAUACCCCCGUAGUCCCUGUCUCUUAUAU